RNAcentral lists this transfer RNA (93 nucleotides) under Magnetococcales bacterium. Its description in RNAcentral is "tRNA-Ser". It matches the Rfam family "tRNA". Rfam says of the family: Transfer RNA (tRNA) molecules are approximately 80 nucleotides in length. Their secondary structure includes four short double-helical elements and three loops (D, anti-codon, and T loops). The record is from RNAcentral. Lineage: Bacteria; Pseudomonadati; Pseudomonadota; Magnetococcia; Magnetococcales.
GGAGAGAUGGCCGAGUGGCCGAAGGCGGCACACUGCUAAUGUGUUAUACUCCGUCAAGGGGUAUCGAGGGUUCGAAUCCCUCUCUCUCCGCCA